GGGCAAUUAGCUCAGUGGUAGAGCAUCUCGUUUACACCGAGGAGGUCGAUAGUUCAAGUCUGUCAUUGCCCA
Molecule: transfer RNA, 72 nt
Filed under: Wolbachia pipientis
Lineage: Bacteria; Pseudomonadati; Pseudomonadota; Alphaproteobacteria; Rickettsiales; Anaplasmataceae
Also listed under: 1 other name
Description: tRNA-Val
Rfam family: tRNA
About the family: Transfer RNA (tRNA) molecules are approximately 80 nucleotides in length. Their secondary structure includes four short double-helical elements and three loops (D, anti-codon, and T loops).
Source: RNAcentral